ACUAUUGCACAAUCGGCGAAAGCCUCAUGCAGCGACGCCGCGUGAGGGAUUACGGCCUUCGGGUCGUAAACCUCUUUCUGUUGGGAAGCAGCUAGAGCGACGGUACCUACAGCAGAAGCGCCGGCUAACUACGUGCCAGCAGCCGCGGUAAUACGUAGGGCGCAAGCGUUUUCCGGAAUUAUCGGGCGUAAAGAGCUCGUAGGCGGUUUGUCGCGUCUGCUGUGAAAACCCGAGGCUCAACCUCGGGCUUGCAGUGGGUACGGGCAGACUAGAGUGUGGUAGGGGAGACUGGAAUUCCUGGUGUAGCGGUGGAAUGCGCAGAUAUCAGGAGGAACACCGAUGGCGGAGGCAGGUCUCUGGGCCACAACUGACGCUGAGGAGCGAAAGCAUGGGUAGCGAACA
Molecule: ribosomal RNA, 402 nt
Filed under: uncultured bacterium
Lineage: Bacteria
Description: partial 16S ribosomal RNA
Rfam family: Bacterial small subunit ribosomal RNA
Source: RNAcentral